Molecule: transfer RNA, 36 nt
Filed under: Broussonetia kazinoki (kozo)
Lineage: Eukaryota; Viridiplantae; Streptophyta; Magnoliopsida; Rosales; Moraceae
Also listed under: 5 other names
Description: partial tRNA-Phe
Source: RNAcentral
GUCGGGAUAGCUCAGCUGGUAGAGCAGAGACUGAAA